CAGGACGAACGCUGGCGGCGUGCCUAAUACAUGCAAGUCGAACGAACUCUGGUAUUGAUUGGUGCUUGCAUCAUGAUUUACAUUUGAGUGAGUGGCGAACUGGUGAGUAACACGUGGGAAACCUGCCCAGAAGCGGGGGAUAACACCUGGAAACAGAUGCUAAUACCGCAUAACAACUUGGACCGCAUGGUCCGAGUUUGAAAGAUGGCUUCGGCUAUCACUUUUGGAUGGUCCCGCGGCGUAUUAGCUAGAUGGUGGGGUAACGGCUCACCAUGGCAAUGAUACGUAGCCGACCUGAGAGGGUAAUCGGCCACAUUGGGACUGAGACACGGCCCAAACUCCUACGGGAGGCAGCAGUAGGGAAUCUUCCACAAUGGACGAAAGUCUGAUGGAGCAACGCCGCGUGAGUGAAGAAGGGUUUCGGCUCGUAAAACUCUGUUGUUAAAGAAGAACAUAUCUGAGAGUAACUGUUCAGGUAUUGACGGUAUUUAACCAGAAAGCCACGGCUAACUACGUGCCAGCAGCCGCGGUAAUACGUAGGUGGCAAGCGUUGUCCGGAUUUAUUGGGCGUAAAGCGAGCGCAGGCGGUUUUUUAAGUCUGAUGUGAAAGCCUUCGGCUCAACCGAAGAAGUGCAUCGGAAACUGGGAAACUUGAGUGCAGAAGAGGACAGUGGAACUCCAUGUGUAGCGGUGAAAUGCGUAGAUAUAUGGAAGAACACCAGUGGCGAAGGCGGCUGUCUGGUCUGUAACUGACGCUGAGGCUCGAAAGUAUGGGUAGCAAACAGGAUUAGAUACCCUGGUAGUCCAUACCGUAAACGAUGAAUGCUAAGUGUUGGAGGGUUUCCGCCCUUCAGUGCUGCAGCUAACGCAUUAAGCAUUCCGCCUGGGGAGUACGGCCGCAAGGCUGAAACUCAAAGGAAUUGACGGGGGCCCGCACAAGCGGUGGAGCAUGUGGUUUAAUUCGAAGCUACGCGAAGAACCUUACCAGGUCUUGACAUACUAUGCAAAUCUAAGAGAUUAGACGUUCCCUUCGGGGACAUGGAUACAGGUGGUGCAUGGUUGUCGUCAGCUCGUGUCGUGAGAUGUUGGGUUAAGUCCCGCAACGAGCGCAACCCUUAUUAUCAGUUGCCAGCAUUAAGUUGGGCACUCUGGUGAGACUGCCGGUGACAAACCGGAGGAAGGUGGGGAUGACGUCAAAUCAUCAUGCCCCUUAUGACCUGGGCUACACACGUGCUACAAUGGAUGGUACAACGAGUUGCGAACUCGCGAGAGUAAGCUAAUCUCUUAAAGCCAUUCUCAGUUCGGAUUGUAGGCUGCAACUCGCCUACAUGAAGUCGGAAUCGCUAGUAAUCGCGGAUCAGCAUGCCGCGGUGAAUACGUUCCCNGGCCUUGUACACACCGCCCGUCACACCAUGAGAGUUUGUAACACCCAAAGUCNGUGGGGUNACCUUUUAGGAACCAGCCGCCU
Molecule: ribosomal RNA, 1468 nt
Filed under: Lactiplantibacillus plantarum
Lineage: Bacteria; Bacillati; Bacillota; Bacilli; Lactobacillales; Lactobacillaceae
Description: bacterial SSU rRNA
Rfam family: Bacterial small subunit ribosomal RNA
Source: RNAcentral